This 433-nucleotide ribosomal RNA is filed under the name uncultured bacterium. RNAcentral describes it as "bacterial SSU rRNA". It matches the Rfam family "Bacterial small subunit ribosomal RNA", at positions 958 to 1391 of the family's 1533-position model. The record is from RNAcentral.
AACGCGAAGAACCUUACCUGGCCUUGACAUCCCGAUGACCGGCGUGUAAUGGCGCCUUUUCUUCGGAACAUUGGAGACAGGUGGUGCAUGGUUGUCGUCAGCUCGUGUCGUGAGAUGUUGGGUUAAGUCCCGCAACGAGCGCAACCCUUAUCUUCAGUAGCCAGCAAUUCGGUUGGGCACUCUGGAGAGACUGCCAGGGAGAACCUGGAGGAAGGUGGGGAUGACGUCAAAUCAUCAUGCCCCUUAUGGCCAGGGCUACACACGUGCUACAAUGGCGUAAACAAAGGGAAGCGAGCAUGUGAGUGUGAGCAAAUCUCAAAAAUAACGUCUCAGUUCGGAUUGUAGUCUGCAACUCGACUACAUGAAGCUGGAAUCGCUAGUAAUCGCGGAUCAGCAUGCCGCGGUGAAUACGUUCCCGGGUCUUGUACACACC